UGUGAGUGUGUGUGUUUCAGUAAACAAUAUUACAAUUUCUUGACAUUUUCAUUGCUGUUUCUUGACAUAUUUAGUGAGGCUUUAAAGGGCUUUUUUUUCAGAGAGGAAAAAAAGAAAGAAGAGAAAAAUGGCUGUCUUCCAAAUCACCAUAUGUUUCCAAUUGCAAAUUCAAAAGCAGAAGACAGGCCUUAAUUCAAGCUGUGCAGCUUUUGUGGGGUUAUGGAACUAGGGAGGCAGGCGCUGUGCCACUGAGCUAAAUCCCCAGCCCCAAUAGUGGAUAUUUUGUGAAACCAGAAUUGAACUGAAAUCUGCUGGAUUCCAAAUCCUCCCAACCUUAAUAGCUUCAGUGGAUGCGCAGAUUUGACUAACAACUGCUGUCGGGUCAGUACGUGAGAUAUUUCAUCAGGAGCAGUAAUAUUUUUAAGCAAGGCAAAGAAAUUAGAAUGGGUCCUCUGAGGAAGCCUCAGCACACAGGCGGGGCUCCUGUGGAAACCCAUAGCAAAUCUACAGGACACUCGAGCUAUCGGCUGGGCCGCUCCUUCCCUCUGGACCUGAACUGGGUCUCACCAUCCUUCUCAUCACAGCCAAGCCCUUCAGAAAGCACAUGAACUGAAACCCGGUGCUUCUCUAUGGCUUUGUACUGAGCUCUAGCGUCAUGUUUUCCUCCUCUAGCCAAAUAUCACUGAUUCUCUAUUAUUUCUCCUCUCUCGAUCGCACUUGAAACUUUUCGUCGUUUAUUUGCCUAUGUUUAUCCUGAGACUUUGCAGUAAUAGCAUAAGGACCUUGAGGUACUCGUCUGUACCCAUAGCUUUCAGUACUCACUGGAGUAAAAACAUACCAGUAGCUUACUGAUUGACUUAACAUAUAUUGGACAAAUAAUUUAGCUGCUGUGUAUGGGAGAAGGAAGUAACAUUUUUUCAGCGAUAUUGCCAGGUAGAAUGCUAAGUGUGCGUACACUAUCUAGUUCAGUAUUCACCACAGAACUUGGAGGUAAGAGGCAGGAAUAUUGUCAUAUGCCUAUAAUUCUUCCUAAUGGAGAGGCUGAGGCUGGAGGGCAGUGAAUCGGGUACAGCCUGGGCAAUAUAGUGACCUUAGAAAAAG
Long non-coding RNA from Chinchilla lanigera (long-tailed chinchilla), 1101 nucleotides. RefSeq lists it as uncharacterized. The transcript is spliced from 3 exons. The record is from RefSeq and is a predicted model, not a curated record. NCBI's taxonomy places the organism in Eukaryota, Metazoa, Chordata, Mammalia, Rodentia, Chinchillidae.